RNAcentral lists this ribosomal RNA (482 nucleotides) under uncultured Rhodococcus sp. RNAcentral describes it as "bacterial SSU rRNA". It matches the Rfam family "Bacterial small subunit ribosomal RNA", at positions 8 to 507 of the family's 1533-position model. The record is from RNAcentral. Lineage: Bacteria; Bacillati; Actinomycetota; Actinomycetes; Mycobacteriales; Nocardiaceae.
AGAGUUUGAUCCUGGCUCAGGACGAACGCUGGCGGCGUGCUUAACACAUGCAAGUCGAGCGGUAAGGCCUUUCGGGGUACACGAGCGGCGAACGGGUGAGUAACACGUGGGUGAUCUGCCCUGCACUUCGGGAUAAGCCUGGGAAACUGGGUCUAAUACCGGAUAUGACCUCAGGUUGCAUGACUUGGGGUGGAAAGAUUUAUCGGUGCAGGAUGGGCCCGCGGCCUAUCAGCUUGUUGGUGGGGUAAUGGCCUACCAAGGCGACGACGGGUAGCCGACCUGAGAGGGUGACCGGCCACACUGGGACUGAGACACGGCCCAGACUCCUACGGGAGGCAGCAGUGGGGAAUAUUGCACAAUGGGCGAAAGCCUGAUGCAGCGACGCCGCGUGAGGGAUGACGGCCUUCGGGUUGUAAACCUCUUUCAGCAGGGACGAAGCGCAAGUGACGGUACCUGCAGAAGAAGCACCGGCUAACUACGUG